UACCGCCCUAGUUCUGACCGUAAACGAUGCCAACUAGCGAUCCGCCAGUCGACUCAUCGCUCUGGUGGGGAGCUUCCCGGAAACGAAAGUCUUCCGGUUCCGGGGGAAAUAUGGUUGCAAAGCUGAAACUUAAAGGAAUUGACGGAAGGGCACCACCAGGAGUGGAGCCUGCGGCUUAAUUUGACUCAACACGGGGAAACUCACCCGGCCCGGACACCGUAAGGAUUGACAGAUUGAUAGCUUUUUCAUGAUUCGGUGGAUGGUGGUGCAUGGCCGUUCUUAGUUCGUGGAGCGAUUUGUCUGGUUUAUUCCGAUAACGAGCGAGACUCUGGCCUACUAAAUAGUUGACGCAUUGCCACUGUGCGCACAACUUCUUAGAGGGAUUUUCGGUGUUUUCAACCGCACGAAAUUGAGCAAUAACAGGUCUGUGAUGCCCUUAGAUGUCCGGGGCUGCACGCGCGCUACACUGGCAAACGCAACGUGCCUGUCCUGCCCCGAAAGGAGCGGGUAAACCCCUGAAAUUUUGCCGUGAUUGGGAUCGGACAUUGCAACUAUUGUCCGUGAACGAGGAAUUCCUUGUAGGGGCGAGUCAUCAACUCGUCCCGAAUACGUCCCUGCCCUUUGUA
This 626-nucleotide ribosomal RNA is filed under the name Rotylenchulus reniformis. Its description in RNAcentral is "SSU rRNA". It matches the Rfam family "Eukaryotic small subunit ribosomal RNA", at positions 1013 to 1664 of the family's 1831-position model. The record is from RNAcentral. Lineage: Eukaryota; Metazoa; Nematoda; Chromadorea; Rhabditida; Hoplolaimidae.